RNAcentral lists this ribosomal RNA (309 nucleotides) under uncultured archaeon. Its description in RNAcentral is "bacterial SSU rRNA". It matches the Rfam family "Archaeal small subunit ribosomal RNA", at positions 526 to 834 of the family's 1478-position model. The record is from RNAcentral.
CGGCCGAUCAAGUCCGUCGGGAAAUCCACUCGCUCAACGUGUGGGCGUCCGGCGGAAACUGGUCGGCUUGGGGCCGGAAGACCCGAGGGGUACGUCCGGGGUAGGAGUGAAAUCCCGUAAUCCUGGACGGACCGCCGGUGGCGAAAGCGCCUCGGGAGGACGGACCCGACGGUGAGGGACGAAAGCUAGGGUCACGAACCGGAUUAGAUACCCGGGUAGUCCUAGCCGUAAACGAUGCCCGCUAGGUGUGGCACUGGCUACGAGCCGGUGCUGUGCCGUAGUGAAGACGUGAAGCGGGCCGCCUGGGAA